Molecule: long non-coding RNA, 402 nt
Filed under: Homo sapiens (human)
Lineage: Eukaryota; Metazoa; Chordata; Mammalia; Primates; Hominidae
Description: non-protein coding lnc-FOXO1-2:12
Source: RNAcentral
AUGCUCCAUAAUUGUUUGCUGAAGGAACGAGUGAUAACCAGAGAAGCCAGCUCCUGCUUCCUGAUUAAGGCAUGCAGUCAGGCCAGUGGGGAAAUGGGCCUCAUGGUGGAGCUUGCCUCUGCUGGAAGACUGACGGAGCCAGGGCUCUGCCUGCCACAAUUCAUGAGCUGGCCAGAGGUCUUUGGAUUCCUCCCAGUCAUUGCUGAGAUGAGUGAGGAUUGUUUCAGAAAAUCAGGCCUCCUCCUGGGGAAUGUGCCUCAGCUUCUGGCUGCAUCAGUGAUUUGGACACCCCUUAAGGACAAAGAGCGUGGUUGGGAGAAGAGCGCUUUCCACCCCUCUCCUUCAGGACCAUCCUGGAUGCAGCUGCAACUCUGCUCUUGGCUGUCCUAUGGCUGGCAAUAG